CGGUGACCUUCGGGCUGUUCCUGGCGAGGAAGCUGUCGCUGACCAGGGCCGUGUUCUACAUCGUGAUGCAGUGCCUCGGCGCCAUCUGCGGCGCCGGCGUCGUCAAGGGGUUCCAGUCGGGGCUGUACAUGAGCAGCGGAGGCGGCGCCAACGCCGUCGCUGCCGGCUACACCAAGGGCGAUGGCCUCGGCGCCGAGAUCGUCGGCACCUUCGUCCUCGUCUACACCGUCUUCUCCGCCACCGACGCCAAGAGGAACGCCAGGGACUCCCAUGUUCCCGUAAGUGCUCCUCCUUGUUCGAGUAACAUGUGGUUUCAUUUUCCUGCCGUGCUUCAUGAGUUCUGAUUGUUCAAACAGAUCCUUGCCCCACUGCCAAUUGGGUUCGCGGUGUUCCUGGUCCACCUUGCCACCAUCCCCAUCACCGGCACCGGCAUCAACCCGGCGAGGAGCCUUGGCGCUGCCAUCAUCUACAACAAGUCGCACAACUGGGCAGACCACGUGAGUGAACUGAAACUGAAACCAAACCCCCUUUUUCCUCCUGACCUGAAACAAAAAGGAACCGUUUUUCUUUCUUUCUCAAAAGCAAAAGGAACCGUUUUUGCAGUAAUCGUUGCAGUAGCUUAAAAUUGAUACAGACACACAGCUGUUCCGGCAUAGCUGCUUCCUUUAAGGCCUGAUGUGAAAUUGGGAAGUUUAACCUGAUGGACUGAUGUAAAUUGUGGUGUCUCCAUGUAAAAAAGAAAAAGAAAAUAAGUGGCAGCAGACAAGUAGCAGCAAUAAUUAAGCAGCUGUAGUUGUAGCUGAUGCCUGAUGGGAUGUCAUUCUAGUUAUUUAACUAUGAAAAGUCUACCCUCAUAUGAAGAAAAAUGCUCAAAGACUUGCUUCAGUGUAGCAGGCAACCACCACCUUCCAUUAUAUUUCUUCAUCCUAAACCUUCAUUAUAUAUAAUUCCCCUAUGAUUUUGCUUUAAUUGUCUGUUGUACAAUUGCUAACCCGCCCCUCCAAUCUUCGCUUUUGCAGUGGAUCUUCUGGGUCGGCCCCUUCAUCGGCGCCGCCCUGGCAGCCGUCUACCACCAGGUGGUCAUCAGAGCAAUCCCGUUCAAGACCAAGUCCUAAGCUUGCUGCUUUCUGAUGAUGGGGCGGCCGUUUCCCGUGCCUACUAUGUUGUUACCUUGGGACUCCCGAUUUCAAUUCCAAUUCCAAAGUUUGAUGAUGUACUUUGCUCUUGUCUUUCACCCGAGAAC
RNAcentral lists this long non-coding RNA (1243 nucleotides) under Brachypodium distachyon (stiff brome). Its description in RNAcentral is "long non-coding RNA (BDIS_LNC005936)". Lineage: Eukaryota; Viridiplantae; Streptophyta; Magnoliopsida; Poales; Poaceae. The record is from RNAcentral.